Molecule: ribosomal RNA, 468 nt
Filed under: uncultured bacterium
Lineage: Bacteria
Description: partial 16S ribosomal RNA
Rfam family: Bacterial small subunit ribosomal RNA
Source: RNAcentral
GAUGAACGCUGGCGGCGUGCCUAACACAUGCAAGUCGAGCGAUUUACUUAGGUGAAGAGCGGCGGACGGGUGAGUAACGCGUGGGUAACCUGCCCUGUACACACGGAUAACAUACCGAAAGGUAUGCUAAUACGGGAUAAUAUGCUUUAGUCGCAUGGCUGAAGUAUCAAAGCUCCGGCGGUACAGGAUGGACCCGCGUCUGAUUAGCUAGUUGGUAAGGUAACGGCUUACCAAGGCGACGAUCAGUAGCCGACCUGAGAGGGUGAUCGGCCAAAUUGGAACUGGGACACGGUCCAAACUCCUACGGGAGGCAGCAGUGGGGAAUAUUGCACAAUGGGCGAAAGCCUGAUGCAGCAACGCCGCGUGAGCGAUGAAGGCCUUCGGGUCGUAAAGCUCUGUCCUCAAGGAAGAUAAUGACGGUACUUGAGGAGGAAGCCCCGGCUAACUACGUGCCAGCCGCCGCGGUAA